RNAcentral lists this ribosomal RNA (560 nucleotides) under uncultured bacterium. Its description in RNAcentral is "bacterial SSU rRNA". It matches the Rfam family "Bacterial small subunit ribosomal RNA", at positions 119 to 674 of the family's 1533-position model. The record is from RNAcentral.
AGGAAUCUGCCUAUUAGUGGGGGACAACAUUUCGAAAGGAAUGCUAAUACCGCAUACGUCCUACGGGAGAAAGCAGGGGAUCUUCGGACCUUGCGCUAAUAGAUGAGCCUAAGUCGGAUUAGCUAGUUGGUGGGGUAAAGGCCUACCAAGGCGACGAUCUGUAGCGGGUCUGAGAGGAUGAUCCGCCACACUGGGACUGAGACACGGCCCAGACUCCUACGGGAGGCAGCAGUGGGGAAUAUUGGACAAUGGGCGCAAGCCUGAUCCAGCCAUGCCGCGUGUGUGAAGAAGGCCUUAUGGUUGUAAAGCACUUUAAGCGAGGAGGGGGCUACUGAAGUUAAUACCUUCAGAUAGUGGACGUUACUCGCAGAAUAAGCACCGGCUAACUCUGUGCCAGCAGCCGCGGUAAUACAGAGGGUGCAAGCGUUAAUCGGAUUUACUGGGCGUAAAGCGCGCGUAGGCGGCUAAUUAAGUCAAAUGUGAAAUCCCCGAGCUUAACUUGGGAAUUGCAUUCGAUACUGGUUAGCUAGAGUGUGGGAGAGGAUGGUAGAAUUCCAGGU